Molecule: transfer RNA, 74 nt
Filed under: Nitratifractor salsuginis DSM 16511
Lineage: Bacteria; Pseudomonadati; Campylobacterota; Epsilonproteobacteria; Campylobacterales; Sulfurovaceae
Rfam family: tRNA
About the family: Transfer RNA (tRNA) molecules are approximately 80 nucleotides in length. Their secondary structure includes four short double-helical elements and three loops (D, anti-codon, and T loops). Further hydrogen bonds mediate the characteristic L-shaped molecular structure. tRNAs have two regions of fundamental functional importance: the anti-codon, which is responsible for specific mRNA codon recognition, and the 3' end, to which the tRNAs corresponding amino acid is attached (by aminoacyl-tRNA synthetases). tRNAs cope with the degeneracy of the genetic code in two manners: having more than one tRNA (with a specific anti-codon) for a particular amino acid; and 'wobble' base-pairing, i.e. permitting non-standard base-pairing at the 3rd anti-codon position.
Source: Rfam by way of RNAcentral
GCGCCCAUAGCUCAGCUGGAUAGAGCGUCGGAUUCCGGUUCCGAAGGUCUGAGGUUCGAAUCCUCAUGGGCGUA